AACGAACGCUGGCGGCGUGCCUAACACAUGCAAGUCGAACGAGAAUCCGGGCUUCGGUCCGGUAGUAAAGUGGCGCACGGGUGAGUAACACGUGGGUAACGUGCCUUAUAGUGGGGGAUAACCAGGUGAAAGCUUGGCUAAUACCGGCAUGAGUCCGUCGGGACGCCGGUCCUGACGGGGAAGUGGAGCAAUCCACGCUAUGAGAUCGGCCCGCGGCCCAUUAGCUAGUUGGCGGGGUAACGGCCCACCAAGGCGACGAUGGGUAGCUGGUCUGAGAGGAUGAUCAGCCACACUGGGACUGAGACACGGCCCAGACUCCUACGGGAGGCAGCAGUGGGGAAUCUUAGACAAUGGGCGCAAGCCUGAUCUAGCCAUGCCGCGUGAGCGAUGAAGGCCUUAGGGUUGUAAAGCUCUUUCAG
RNAcentral lists this ribosomal RNA (419 nucleotides) under uncultured bacterium. Its description in RNAcentral is "bacterial SSU rRNA". It matches the Rfam family "Bacterial small subunit ribosomal RNA", at positions 29 to 439 of the family's 1533-position model. The record is from RNAcentral.